ACCCACAAAAGCAGUACGCGGAUGCGGUGAUAGAAGUGCUUCCAACCCAGUUGAUUCCAGAUGACAAUGAAGGCAAAGUGUUGAGAGUGAGAUUGAUAAUGAAAGAAGGUGUUAAGUACUUCAGCCCGGUUUACCUAUUCGAUGAAGGUUCAACCAUCUCGUGGAUCCCUUGUGGUCGCAAACUCACCUGCUCCUACCCUGGCAUCAAGUUCAACUACCAACCUGAUUCCUACUUCGACAAUGAGGUGCAUUCAUUUGUCUCUUUAGGUUACAGAAUGAGUUUUAAGUUUCUUUAGAUCUUGGUUUGAACAUUUUUGUUCUUUCUUUCAGGUUUCUGUUGUGGAGAUGGAUGGGCAAUUCGAUAGACUGGACGAGCUGAUUUACGUGGAGAGCCAUCUGAGCAACCUCUCAACCAAAUUCUACGGUGAAGUGACUCAACAAAUGCUCAAACAUGCUGACUUCCCUGGUAGCAACAACGGAACUGGUCUUUUCCAGACCAUUGUAGGAUUGAAAAUCAGAGAUCUCUAUGAGCAGCUCAUUGCCAACAAAGCCAAUGCUCCUACAGAAGCUGCUAAAGCCUAAAACAAAUAAGCAAAACAGAACGCGUCGAUAAACCCAUUGGUUGUUUCUUCUUCUUUCUUUCUUUAUGCUUUGUUUCCGCGGAUUUUCAUGGAGAAAAGGACGGUGUUGCGAUUACCAAAAAAAAAAAAGGACGGUGUUGCAUGUUUGUUAUUUGUGUGGAGAUAUAAAAAGAAAAGCAUGUAAUGUAGAAAAUUUAUUAGCAGAGCAAUAACAAUUAAGUUAGUACAAUGCUUUUAUCUAUUGAUAAAAGUAGAUUAAAACCGAAAAUCAACCUUUAAGCAAAAGAAUGAAUUAAAGGUUUCUUCCUGUUGAUCAUACUCAUGUAUUUUAGUAUGUAUCUAACAUAGAUACAUAUUGAUUUCGAGUUACAGAAGUGCACUGGUAAAAACUUGCCUUUGAUGCCUUCUGGAUCAGAGAGAAAUCCACAACUGCAUGAAACAUUCAAGGGAAAAAAUAUCUAAAUAUAUUUUCUUCAAAAAGGAAAUACAUCUAAAUAUUUUUAUCACCUUGGCUAUCUGCAAAAGGAGAUAUAUAUUACCAAUAUAUUUUUGAAGAAGAGCCCUUACUAGCUUUUCACAAGAGCUUUACCAAGCCCUUGACCCUGAAACCAAAAAUAAAAGAACAAUUCUUAACAUUAAACACAGUUCCAAAACAGAAACUUCAUUUUUUUUUUGUUAACUGAUAUCUAGGAUCAACAAGAACAUGGACCCUAAAGUGUAGCACUAAAGAAUGAUCCUACGUCGCACCAUUUCAUUUAGCUUCUUCCUCUGCUGUUGAUAAUUAUCGCCUUAUGUGGUCUUCAAUGGAAAGCAUUUGUAAAAACAUAAUAUUACUAAUUAUUCAAUCAACUACUAAACCAUUUAUAGUAGCAUUUAGAAGCUGCAAAAAUGUUCUCCAGAUAAUCUUUAUUCAAUGUUUUUAUAUGAAACUUUUGAUAAAACAUUAUCAUUUAUAUAUAAAAAUUAAAAAUUAUUUUAUAUAAUUUAUUAAUUUUAGUUAAUAAUAUCAAAAAUUAUAUUUAUAUUCAAUUUAUUAAAUUUAUAAUUUUAAAACUAAAAUUUAUAAUUAAUAUUUCUAAUUUUUAACAAUGAAGGCAAAGUGUUGAGAGUGAGAUUGAUAAUGAAAGAAGGUGUUAAGUACUUCAGCCCGGUUUACCUAUUCGAUGAAGGUUCAACCAUCUCGUGGAUCCCUUGUGGUCGCAAACUCACCUGCUCCUACCCUGGCAUCAAGUUCAACUACCAACCUGAUUCCUACUUCGACAAUGAGGUGCAUUCAUUUGUCUCUUUAGGUUACAGAAUGAGUUUUAAGUUUCUUUAGAUCUUGGUUUGAACAUUUUUGUUCUUUCUUUC
RNAcentral lists this long non-coding RNA (1931 nucleotides) under Brassica napus (rape). RNAcentral describes it as "long non-coding RNA (BNAP_LNC014219)". Lineage: Eukaryota; Viridiplantae; Streptophyta; Magnoliopsida; Brassicales; Brassicaceae. The record is from RNAcentral.